RNAcentral lists this ribosomal RNA (548 nucleotides) under uncultured Glomeromycotina. RNAcentral describes it as "SSU rRNA". It matches the Rfam family "Eukaryotic small subunit ribosomal RNA", at positions 548 to 1098 of the family's 1831-position model. Lineage: Eukaryota; Fungi; Glomeromycota. The record is from RNAcentral.
UUGGAGGGCAAGUCUGGUGCCAGCAGCCGCGGUAAUUCCAGCUCCAAUAGCGUAUAUUAAAGUUGUUGCAGUUAAAAAGCUCGUAGUUGAAUUUCGAGGUUCUACUGUCGGUCGGGCUACCAAGUCUGUACUGGUGUGUAGAAUUUCUACCUUCUGGGGAACCAUCAUGUUAUUAAUUUAGCGUGGUGGGAAACCAGGACCUUUACCUUGAAAAAAUUAGAGUGUUCAAAGCAGGCUUAUGUCUGAAUACAUUAGCAUGGAAUAAUAGAAUAGGACGGUGGUCCUGUUUUGUUGGUUUCUGAAUCACCGUAAUGAUUAAUAGGGAUAGUUGGGGGCAUUAGUAUUCAAUUGUCAGAGGUGAAAUUCUUGGAUUUAUUGAAGACUAACUACUGCGAAAGCAUUUGCCAAGGAUGUUUUCAUUAAUCAAGAACGAAAGUUAGGGGAUCGAAGACGAUCAGAUACCGUCGUAGUCUUAACCAUAAACUAUGCCGACUAGGGAUCGGAUGAUGUUAAUUUUUUAAUGACUCAUUCGGCGCCUUACGGGAAAC